RNAcentral lists this microRNA precursor (98 nucleotides) under Marmota monax (woodchuck). The record is from RNAcentral. Lineage: Eukaryota; Metazoa; Chordata; Mammalia; Rodentia; Sciuridae.
AUACAAAACACCUAAGGAUUUUGUGAAAAUGUAAAUAUUGAUAUCUGGGGUUAGGCCUGAGAUUUUGCAUUUCUGACAAGCUUCCAGUUAAUGCCACU